This 253-nucleotide ribosomal RNA is filed under the name uncultured bacterium. Its description in RNAcentral is "partial 16S ribosomal RNA". It matches the Rfam family "Bacterial small subunit ribosomal RNA", at positions 524 to 776 of the family's 1533-position model. The record is from RNAcentral.
UACGAAGGGUGCAAGCGUUGCUCGGAAUUAUUGGGCGUAAAGCGCACGUAGGCGGCAUUGCAAGUCGGAUGUGAAAUCCCUCGGCUCAACCAAGGAAGUGCAUCCGAAACUGCCGUACUUGAGUACUAAAGAGGAUCGCGGAAUUCCCGGUGUAGAGGUGAAAUUCGUAGAUACCGGGAGGAACACCAGUGGCGAAGGCGGCGAUCUGGGUAGAUACUGACGCUGAGGUGCGAAAGCGUGGGGAGCAAACAGG